GACACCGUAGCUCAGUGGUUAGAGCAUGCGAUUGCAGUUUGCAAUGCUUAAUCAUUAUCGCAGGGUCCCGUGUUCGACUCACGGUGGUGUCU
This is a non-coding RNA of Dentipellis sp. KUC8613, 92 nucleotides long. The record is from the annotation of a GenBank genome assembly. NCBI's taxonomy places the organism in Eukaryota, Fungi, Basidiomycota, Agaricomycetes, Russulales, Hericiaceae.